Molecule: long non-coding RNA, 670 nt
Organism: Quercus robur (English oak)
Lineage: Eukaryota; Viridiplantae; Streptophyta; Magnoliopsida; Fagales; Fagaceae
Exons: 3
Source: RefSeq, a predicted model, not a curated record
UUUGUUUUUUUUUUGUUUUUUUUGUUUUUGUUUUCUCUCAUACGCUCCUCUCUACUCUCAUCCUCUCCACCGGCACUUCCACACCACCACCACCACCAUUUCCACCAUCAUUUUCCGGCAAGAUCACCGGAAAUUCUUGGGAACCCAUAAACACCUUCACAUCCUUUUUUUGUGGUUCUAGCUAAUCUCCUUGGAGCUUAGAGAAUUAGGAUUUUGCGGUUGCGAGUGAUCACCUGAUUUAGUUUUCGUAGUCUUUGUGACAAUGGAAUCAAAUCUAGGUCAGUACCCUUUUACUUUGGAUGACGUGUUCUUCCUUGCUGCCUAUGGGGGGAAGAGGUUCCUUGAUUGUGUGUGGGUGAGGCUACUGUCCAUGGGGCCAAGAGACCACAUGCAAGAGAGGUCCUAUUUCACGUGCUCUCUCUACUACUCAUGGGAGGAGAGAAAAACCUUGAGGGUAUGGGUGAGGCUGCUAUCUAUGGGGCCAAGAGUCUGCAUACCAGAAAGGACAAUAUCAUGCCAGUUGUGAAUGGUUGAAUCCCCUGACCGGUCUAUGUGUUAGUGUGGUAGAUUUGUGAUAAUUUAUCUUAUGUUAGAUAUUAUGGUUUUGGAAAUUAUAUUGUUGAUGCUCACAAAUUAUAGUAUAUAGUUUCAAGGUAUUUACUUUGAGAAA